RNAcentral lists this transfer RNA (85 nucleotides) under Deltaproteobacteria bacterium. Its description in RNAcentral is "tRNA-Leu". It matches the Rfam family "tRNA". From Rfam's summary of the family: Transfer RNA (tRNA) molecules are approximately 80 nucleotides in length. The record is from RNAcentral. Lineage: Bacteria; Pseudomonadati; Myxococcota; Myxococcia. RNAcentral also lists the same sequence under 1 other name.
GCCGACGUGGCGGAAUUGGCAGACGCGCUUGGUUUAGGCCCAAGUGGGGUAACCCGUGGGGGUUCGACUCCCUCCGUCGGCACCA